CCCAACAUAAUCAAUAUAAUGUUUUUCAACAUGAAGCUAAGGGGAGGCCCCAUCAAUGAUAAUUUACAUCAAAGUUCUAGGACAGUUUUUCAGUUCUAUCUCCUGUUUGCUAAGGUUUAUUUACUAGGCAGUAAAUUAGGACCCAGGACCCCGUCCACAGUUCUACCACCACAUUAACAGUGUUAAUACAUGAGCUACAUGGGAUGGAUGCUACAUGUUCAUGAAGAAAACCUCUGCAGGAAGAGACUCGUACAGGAAGUCCUUUCAGACAGACCUGCUUUAUGAGUCAGAGUUCUACAUGAGGUCAAAUCAAACUGACCUUUUCUGAGUCUUUAACUCAGACAACCUGCAGCAAAUCUGGUCUCUGAUGAAUUCUCUGUUAGUGGAUGUUUGAAAGAAGCAACGUUAAACUUUCCUGCUGUGGUUUCUGCUCAGUAAAGAUGGAGGCUGCUGCUCUCUGUCUUCAUUCAUCUCUGAUUAUUUACAGUUUUUAGAAGAUGAUUCAACCUGACAGAGAAAAUCCCCUGAACUCACAGAUCAGUUUCAUUUUGACUUCAUCACAAACUAAGGUGUGGUUUAUCUGUUUAUCUUGGCAGACUGUCAGAGUCCUGAGGCAGAAAGAGGAUAAUAGACAAGGAGACCAACGAAUCAGAAACUUUGCAUCCACAUUUGAAAUUCAAAACAUUUAAUGAGCUUCCAGAGCUGGUUCUCCUGCUGCACAGAUCUGUGUGAUCAAUAAAACAGUCUUUAUCCAGCAGAGUUAAUGAGGUCUGAGAACAGCAAACUGCUUCUUCAUGUCUGUGAACUACAGGAAGAAGAAUUAAACUUUCAUAAUAAACCUAAACUCUCUUUAUCUUUAGCAUGGUGUGUCCAGAGGAACAUGAUCUGUGUUCAGACAGACUGUCUCUAAAGUCUCUGGUUGUAGAAACAGAUUCUACAGAGCAACAGGAAGUUCUGGUAAACUACAGUCUGGAUGUUUUCUACACUAAUCAGAUCUAUGGAGAAACACAACCUAAAAGUGAUGAAUGAGAGACUUUCUGUUUCCACAGAACACAAAUAAAAGACCAACAUGGAACAUGUGACUCUUCAGUGUUUACAUGUUAAAUAAGUGAUGAUAUGGGACAGUGUUUACCCUGAUGACAGGAAGCCCAGUUGACCUUCUGUGAAGGACAGCUGAUGGUUUGUAUGAUCUGAAUGAUAUUUAACAACUUGGUCUCAGUGGGAGGAUGACUGUCAUGUUACUGAGAAAAUGUGACACUGUGGACUUUCCAUGGGACUCAGUGGGUUUUACUGAAUACUACAAUCUCAUUAUAGGAAGAACAAAAAUACUUCUGCUAUUUAUCCUGGUAAAGAGAACAACACGUCCUGGUUCAGAGAGAGGAGCAGCAGAGCUGUAGUUAAGGGGUGUUGUGUAACGACAAUGAAGUCAGUCUGGUUUUUGUUUUGUUUGUUGAUCCUGUAGAUAAGCUCCUGAUCUGUUUGUUGUGAACCAGUUGAACAGGUUGUAGUCAGACAUGAAGCAGCAGGAUCAGAAUCUGGAGAAACAACCUUUAUUAUCACUUCUGCAGAAAAGAAACCAGCUUUAAAACUCUACAUAGAAACUAGAAUGAACCACAGAUCACUGAUUACAUUCAACUUUGAUAUCAUUGUAAAAGAACAAAGACAAACAGCUUAGAAUCAGUGCCAGAGUGCAGAAGCAGCAGUAAAGUUCAUUAUUUACUGUAAAGUUCAUUAUUUCCACUGUGUUGCAGGAUAAACAGUCAUUUCUGUGAAGUGAAAAAGUACAAUAACUGUUUAUUCUAUUCAACCUUCAGUAACAAACAAUGUUAUUUUACUGGACUACAUUUAUCUGCAGAUUAAAAAAUAAACAUGAUAUAGGAUGAAGAUUAAACUGACAGACCACACAGCAGAAUAAAAAACAGAUGAUAAUCAUGAUAUUAGCUGCCAACCAAUAAAACUGUUGAGAAAAUCAUCAGAGCUGCUAACAGAUAAAACAUUCAAACCAGUUCACUUUAAGGUUCUGUUCAUCAGUUCUGCUUCAUUCUGGACAAUCAGAACUUUUCUAUCUGCUUCUGAUCUCAUCUGACAGAACACUUUACAUCCACAACAUUUCAUCAGGUUCUAACAUGCAGAGCUUUGGAACACAUUUAUUUCCAGACAAAGCAACAGAAAAGUUGAUGAAGACCAGCAGCAGCAGCAACAAUCCACAGGAUCAAUCUAGAAAAAGCAGCCGGGAUGCAGCAGUUUUUGGCCAAAAAGAGCCCCAAUUUUUUCCAGCUGCAUUCCGUGAUUCCAACCGGGUCCCUGAACGCAACAACUGAGCAUUCCGUGAUUCCAACCAGGUCCCUGAACGCAACAGCUGAGCAGGAGUUGAUGCAGGCCGCAGUACCGAUCCUGAUAGUUGUCGGCCUUGGAUGAUGAGGUCCAGUUACCAGGAGCACUAGUCUGCAGCUUACUGGUUCCGUCCUGCAGCUCCUCCACGCCGUCCUCCUCUCUACAGACCAAAUCAAGAAAAGGGAACCAGGAAGCUGCUGUGGAUCCUCUGCAGUAUCUGGAGAGGUCAGAGGAACAGUUCUUGGAACAGAUCUGAAAACACCGAGACCUGACCACUGCCAUGCUCCAGAACAUCCAGAGGACGGAUGAAAAUUCAAACACCUUGGCUGGACUGAUGGGACGCAUGGUGUCGGUGCUGGAGCGACUGUCACAGAAAUAAACUGCAUUGUCCACUAUUUCUGCCUUUUUUAGAAAAAGUAAUCAUAUUUUUUAUUGAUUCUUUUCCUUCUUAGCUAUUUAAGUACACUGGUAUUUUACUCUUGCACUUUAGGUGAAUACAAAUAUAUUUGUGAUGAAA
Molecule: long non-coding RNA, 2851 nt
Organism: Acanthochromis polyacanthus (spiny chromis)
Lineage: Eukaryota; Metazoa; Chordata; Actinopteri; Pomacentridae
Exons: 3
Source: RefSeq, a predicted model, not a curated record